This is a non-coding RNA of Triticum aestivum (bread wheat), 135 nucleotides long. NCBI's taxonomy places the organism in Eukaryota, Viridiplantae, Streptophyta, Magnoliopsida, Poales, Poaceae. The record is from Rfam.
UUUGUACUCCCUCCGUCCCAAAAUUCUUGUCUUAAAUUUGUCUAAAUCUGGAUGUAUCUAGUUACAUUUUAGUGUUAGCUACAUCUGUAUCUAAACAAAUGUAAGACAAGAAUUUUGGGACGGAGGGAAUACUAC